RNAcentral lists this ribosomal RNA (468 nucleotides) under uncultured bacterium. RNAcentral describes it as "partial 16S ribosomal RNA". It matches the Rfam family "Bacterial small subunit ribosomal RNA", at positions 28 to 507 of the family's 1533-position model. The record is from RNAcentral.
GACGAACGCUGGCGGCGUGCUUAACACAUGCAAGUCGAACGGAAAGGCCCUGCUUUUGUGGGGUGCUCGAGCGGCGAACGGGUGAGUAACACGUGAGUAACCUGCCCUUGACUUUGGGAUAACUUCGGGAAACUGGGGCUAAUACCGGAUAGGAGCUCCUGCUGCAUGGUGGGGGUUGGAAAGUUUCGGCGGUUGGGGAUGGACUCGCGGCUUAUCAGCUUGUUGGUGGGGUAGUGGCUUACCAAGGCUUUGACGGGUAGCCGGCCUGAGAGGGUGACCGGCCACAUUGGGACUGAGAUACGGCCCAGACUCCUACGGGAGGCAGCAGUGGGGAAUAUUGCACAAUGGGCGGAAGCCUGAUGCAGCAACGCCGCGUGCGGGAUGACGGCCUUCGGGUUGUAAACCGCUUUCGCCUGUGACGAAGCGUGAGUGACGGUAAUGGGUAAAGAAGCACCGGCUAACUACGUG